CCUACGGGAGGCAGCAGUGGGGAAUAUUGGACAAUGGGGGGAACCCUGAUCCAGCCAUGCCGCGUGUGUGAAGAAGGCCCUCGGGUUGUAAAGCACUUUCAGUGAGGAAGAACGCCUGGUGGUUAAUACCCAUCAGGAAAGACAUCACUCACAGAAGAAGCACCGGCUGAACUCCGUGCCAGCAGCCGCGGUAAUACGGAGGGUGCGAGCGUUAAUCGGAAUUACUGGGCGUAAAGCGCGCGUAGGUGGCUUGAUAAGCCGGUUGUGAAAGCCCCGGGCUCAACCUGGGAACGGCAUCCGGAACUGUCAAGCUAGAGUGCAGGAGAGGAAGGUAGAAUUCCCGGUGUAGCGGUGAAAUGCGUAGAGAUCGGGAGGAAUACCAGUGGCGAAGGCGGCCUUCUGGACUGACACUGACACUGAGGUGCGAAAGCGUGGGUAGCAAACAGGAUUAGAUACCCCGGUAGUC
Molecule: ribosomal RNA, 466 nt
Filed under: Vreelandella stevensii
Lineage: Bacteria; Pseudomonadati; Pseudomonadota; Gammaproteobacteria; Oceanospirillales; Halomonadaceae
Description: partial 16S ribosomal RNA
Rfam family: Bacterial small subunit ribosomal RNA
Source: RNAcentral